RNAcentral lists this ribosomal RNA (305 nucleotides) under uncultured bacterium. Its description in RNAcentral is "partial 16S ribosomal RNA". It matches the Rfam family "Bacterial small subunit ribosomal RNA", at positions 508 to 808 of the family's 1533-position model. The record is from RNAcentral.
ACAGCAGUCGCCGCGGUAAUACGAAGGGUGCAAGCGUUAAUCGGAAUUACUGGGCGUAAAGCGUGCGUAGGCGGUGAGUUAAGUCUGCUGUGAAAUCCCCGGGCUCAACCUGGGAAUGGCAGUGGAUACUGGCUCGCUAGAGUGUGUCAGAGGAUGGUGGAAUUCCCGGUGUAGCGGUGAAAUGCGUAGAGAUCGGGAGGAACAUCAGUGGCGAAGGCGGCCAUCUGGGACAACACUGACGCUGAGGCACGAAAGCGUGGGGAGCAAACAGGAUUAGAUACCCCCGUAGUCCCUGUCUCUAUACA